GUCAGGAAGGCCGAGCGGUCAGGCGCUGCGUUCAGGUCGCAGAUCCCUUCAAUGGGCGUGGGUUCAAUCCCACUUCUGACA
Non-coding RNA from Trichonephila clavipes, 81 nucleotides. Lineage: Eukaryota; Metazoa; Arthropoda; Arachnida; Araneae; Nephilidae. The record is from the annotation of a GenBank genome assembly.